CGCAGGAAAACGCCAGUUUGGUUGGAGGUGCCUGCGCAGAAUACUGCGACGCUGCUAGAAUUCGUAACGCGAUUUUCAUUAAGAUUCUUCAGAAGUCGACAUCAUGAUAUAUCCCAUACAGCUCGUCAACUCAGAAGCUGGCUAAGUUCAGCUUUGUAUUUCCUCGCCGAACUGAGAUACAUCAACGUCUUAUUCUUCAUAGUGAACAUCUGUGUUCUCGCCCGCAAACUUCAUCAGUGCUGGUUUUCACCAAAUUCUGAUCGUCCAAGGACCGAGCGUGAUGACAUCACGUGCUUCCUUUCAAAACUGCUGGACCAAUGCCGUCCGAUGCUUCGCCAUCACUUGGAGUCACUCUCUCCAAGCUUUGCUGUCAAUCUGGAUGGAAUCAUCUGCAAAAAUGUGGUUGUCAGCGGGCUUUCUGAGUGUCAGAUUAACCAUGUCCUCGUAUCACAGCCACACACCAAGCUUGACCGAUAUGUCGGUACAAAUGUCGCCUUAUCCAUCUCAUGGCCCCGUAUCACGUGCAAGUGCAAAGUGCGAAUGGAGGGCACGAGUUGGUACUUUCCGCAGUUUGUUGCCGACAUUAUUUCAGCUACGGUUAAUGUGUCCAUGGAGCAUGUGAACUGUGAGAUUGACGUUCCGCUGUACGGUACUCUCUGGGAGAAAGGAAGCAGUUCGUUUUAUGUAGGAGGCAAGGAGUUGAACGUUACGAUUAACCGGCCAUUUAUUAGUGUUUCGACAUGUUUUGACGGCGCCGUGGGUGCCAUAAACAUAGGCAACUGGGCUGGCAAGUAUGCCGAAUCCUGUGUUAGAAGUAGCUGGGACAGAUCAUCUAAGAAAAUCGCUGAAUUGGUAAAAAAUGAGCUGAGCAGGAUUCUUUCGGCAGAAUUUUCUGUGAACCUGGAUCAGCUUUUGCAGACCCCUCUUGCCGUGCUGCUGGGUUCAUUCAGACCAAAAUGGGGUGAAGGCGCUCCCUAUAUGUGGUUUCAGAGGCCAGACGAGGUGACCCCUUUCCAGGUCAUGUCACACUCAGUCAGGAAUGCUUGGCAUUCAAUGACGCUGUCAUUUUGGAAUUGGUGUGUUCGGGUUUACAUACUAUUCAUUUUCUGGUUUUAUCGGUGGUGAAAUACGUCGGUAUAUAUGUACACUGUACAAAGGAAGAUAGGUGCAAUAGCCGUUUUCACGACGGCCAUCUGGUACACAUUUGGUGCACAUCUGGUACAGAUUAGGUGCAGAUUUAGUCAAAUCUGGUUCUGAGUGUGUCUCUUAGUAGCUAUCAGCUAGGGUUGCACUAAUUGCUUAUAUGUCUGCUUUGUCACAUUAUCAGAGAGCAUAAUCGAAAUAAACUCAUAAACACUGAAAUAAAUUCAUAAAAUGAAGAUAUUUGCUGUAAAAGAGAUUAGGUGCAGAUUUGGUCAAAUUAGGUGCACUCGCCGGGUAGCCCGUCAUGAAAACGGCUAAUUUCACCUACCUAUAUUUUCUCUGAGUUAACUGGACGUAGCCACUCAUCUAUCGGAGUCGCCGAAGGCUGUGUGCAAUUGACAGUGAAGUGACUUUUGACUCGUACUAUAGGUUUAGCUGAGAGUCGGAUGCAUUACUGACUGAAUGUGUCGCUUUAUUAUCAGUUGCUGCGUUUGUUGGUCGUGUGUGGGGAUGAAUAAAUAAAACACAGUGGAUGCUGGAAUAAGA
This is a long non-coding RNA of Amphibalanus amphitrite, 1689 nucleotides long. RefSeq lists it as uncharacterized. The transcript has 3 exons. Lineage: Eukaryota; Metazoa; Arthropoda; Thecostraca; Balanomorpha; Balanidae. The record is from RefSeq and is a predicted model, not a curated record.